AGAGGACGUGUGUGAUUACUCUAGGAGAGGAACCCAAAUGAAACCAAGGGAGCCCCCAUCCAGGCAGUCGGGUAUCUGCGCCCGUCCCACCAUCGGAGCCGUGAGAAAAUCGUACUAGUUUCUAGGUCUCCCUAGACUCUUCCACAGCUGCGUGGUUUCCCACGAGUAUGGAGUUUGGGGGUGCACGGAGCACCACACACAUACCUGCCAGCAGCCCAAUGAGUAGCAUCACCACCCAUCCCGACCACGCGUCCAGCAGGCUCUUGAUGAACUCCCAAAUAGACUCCUUACUUUUGCUGGUGAUCUGACAAGGAAGGACACAGAGCGAUUGAUCAGAACGCAUCGUCCGGGUCACGCCUCGUCCUCUGAGACAGAUCCCUCAGGAAACGACGAGACUGAGGAGACGGAUGCAAUGAAGCCACCAGAUUCCCAGUCACAUUUUUCAUGCAGCGAUGCAGCACCAUGAUCUGACGCCCAAACCCUUAGUCACACCCUUUCUGAAAAAGCAUUCUGUACUUAUUCCUUUUCAAUGAGCCCACAGCCUUUACUAUAUAACUGCAUUUUGUACCAUUCCAGUGUACUGAAUGCCAAGUGGAUGCAUGACGACAUAGCGAGUUGCUCCCCGACCCCGAUCUUCAAUGUCAUCACCUCCAUCCUCAAGGAUAAGAAAAUGAGGCCCAAAAAAUGACAGCUCCAGACUCCAGUCCCAUCAAGUUCUUUCUCUCUGUGGAACCGACAUGCGACACACGGCCUCAGGCUCACAUCCCAACCAAGAGAUGGAAGCUUUGUGGAACGAUGGGCAAGGACCUCUUCAGCACAGGAUCGCCCACCUUCCUAUGUCUGUCGGUAUCCCGGGACUUUUCCCUCAGCCAGUCUAUGGUGUGGAAGUCCUCGUAGGUCCCCACGUCAGGGAAGGGCUCCUCGAGGAAGUCCAUGAGGUUCCCAGAGGCGCUCGUGGCUCCCGCCCUGACCGUGCUAGUCACUCCUGGAAGAGAAGUCCACCCGUUAAAAACGCAGACGGGGCUCGUGUGUGGCUCGGGACCGAGUGUCUGCAGAGCGCGCGUGAGGACUCGGGUUCCGUCCCCGGCUCCACCGAGAAACUAAGCGGGACCACAACAUAGAUAUGGCGGCAUGAUUCAGGAACUCUCUACUUUAUAUCUCCCUCCCUCCUGCUCUUUCUCUCUCCCCACCUCUCCGUGCCACUGUGUGUGUGUGUGUUGGUGUGUAUUAGAUGAACCUUUCAC
Molecule: long non-coding RNA, 1244 nt
Filed under: Mus musculus (house mouse)
Lineage: Eukaryota; Metazoa; Chordata; Mammalia; Rodentia; Muridae
Description: predicted gene 45631
Source: RNAcentral